Non-coding RNA from Pteropus alecto (black flying fox), 115 nucleotides. The record is from Rfam. NCBI's taxonomy places the organism in Eukaryota, Metazoa, Chordata, Mammalia, Chiroptera, Pteropodidae.
AUCACUUUUCAGCCUUUGGCUAAGAUCAAGUGUAGUAUCUGCUCUUAUCAGUUUAAAAUGGAAAUGAAAAAAUAUCUGAUGUAGCAAUACUUAUACCAGACAAAAUAGACUUUAA